UUUACUCUUUUUUUUCCACGUGAAGCUUAUUAAAAAUGGUGUUUUAUUACCCGGGGACCAUAAAUUAAAUUGAUUUUUGGAACUAGGAGAUGGAAUAGGGGCUUGCUCUGUCCGCUCCACGCAUCGACCUGGUAUUGCAGUACCUCCAGGAACGGUGCACCCCCC
This is a small nuclear RNA of Labrus bergylta (ballan wrasse), 165 nucleotides long. Its record names the gene U2. It matches the Rfam family "U2 spliceosomal RNA". From Rfam's summary of the family: U2 is a small nuclear RNA (snRNA) component of the spliceosome (involved in pre-mRNA splicing). Complementary binding between U2 snRNA (in an area lying towards the 5' end but 3' to hairpin I) and the branchpoint sequence (BPS) of the intron results the bulging out of an unpaired adenosine, on the BPS, which initiates a nucleophilic attack at the intronic 5' splice site, thus starting the first of two transesterification reactions that mediate splicing. NCBI's taxonomy places the organism in Eukaryota, Metazoa, Chordata, Actinopteri, Labriformes, Labridae. The record is from Ensembl.